RNAcentral lists this transfer RNA (65 nucleotides) under Escherichia coli. Its description in RNAcentral is "tRNA-Gly". Lineage: Bacteria; Pseudomonadati; Pseudomonadota; Gammaproteobacteria; Enterobacterales; Enterobacteriaceae. The record is from RNAcentral.
CGGGAAUAGCUCAGUUGGUAGAGCACGACCUUGCCAAGGUCGGGGUCGCGAGUUCGAGUGUUUAA